UAUGUACCUCUUUAGUUUUGUAUUAUGCGCAUCAGCGACGAACAAGAGCAUCCUACGAUGGAAUCUUAAGAAACAUAUGAAAAACUACUGCACGUGCAGCCUCUACUAUAUAUUUUCACAUUGGAGGAGAAAACUGCUUUACAACCGAGACUACUCAAGAUGGUACCACAGGGUCACUUCUCAUGUUGUUAUUCUUUUUCUUGACUUCUAAUUAGUGCAGUUUUCUUUGUUUGUUUUUUAUGAAAUAAGAUAUACACAAUAUAAUACAAU
RNAcentral lists this long non-coding RNA (270 nucleotides) under Hordeum vulgare. RNAcentral describes it as "long non-coding RNA (HVUL_LNC017833)". Lineage: Eukaryota; Viridiplantae; Streptophyta; Magnoliopsida; Poales; Poaceae. The record is from RNAcentral.